RNAcentral lists this ribosomal RNA (402 nucleotides) under Triticum aestivum (bread wheat). Its description in RNAcentral is "partial small subunit ribosomal RNA". The record is from RNAcentral. Lineage: Eukaryota; Viridiplantae; Streptophyta; Magnoliopsida; Poales; Poaceae.
AUGAUACUGGGGAGAGACGAUGAAGAGGAAGAGAAGAAUAAAAAAAAUAAAGAAAAGGAGGAAAAGAUUGUCUCUCUUACAUAUGAAUAUUUACCCGACUUCUGCUAUAGUGGUGGAAUUAUUGGACACACUGAAAAGGCAUGCCUAGCAAGAUCUAGAAGAACAGGGUCCAGACAGUUUGGUCCAUGGCUGCGGGCAAUUAUGUAUAAGGGAAGCUCAAAUGAAGAAAAGGGCAGAAGCUCGAGUGAUAAAGGAAAUGUUCAGACAAGUAAUAGUGUAGGAAGUAACGGGAGAAAGCAAGGAAGCAACGGGCCAUCCUGGAGAAGGGCUACAUCAGGAAGGGAGGAACAGGAAGAACCAAGAAAUAGAGAAGGAAUAGAAGUAAUGAGUCCCCUGAAGUGA